Molecule: long non-coding RNA, 253 nt
Filed under: Elaeis guineensis (African oil palm)
Lineage: Eukaryota; Viridiplantae; Streptophyta; Magnoliopsida; Arecales; Arecaceae
Description: long non-coding RNA (EGUI_LNC016900)
Source: RNAcentral
GGUGUGAAUUGCAUUCACUUGGUUGACUUGAUUUUCAUGUUGGGGUCGAGGACUAUUCUGAACUUUUGGACUGGAUUCAGAUUGGCUAGGCAACCUACCUCUCUCUCUCAUUCAUGGUAGAGGCUAGCUGACCUACUUGCAUUUUCAAUCGAGCAAUGGCUUGAGUUUUGGUAUUUAAAAAUUGGCUCGUGGUCUGCAUAAAGUUAUUCAGGGUGGCAUUGGUGUCAACAGUUGAUUUCGUCAGGACUUCUAG